AACGCACAUUGCGCCCUUUGGUAUUCCGAAGGGCAUGCCUGUUCGAGCGUCAUUAUCAACCCUCAAGCCCCCCUCUGGGCUUGGCUUUGGACGGUCUGGUUAGGCGACUGACCCCUCCUAAAGACAAUGACGGCGGCCUCGUGGGACCCCCGGUACACUGAGCUUCAUUGAGCACGUAUCGGAUGAAGGGACCCCGGGUCACGGUCUACUUUUCUCCCCGCAACAACCCCCCUUCACGGUGGUGGUCGUCGUGGGACAGAAAAAACCCCCCUUUCAAGGUUGACCUCGGAUCAGGUAGGGAUACCCGCUGAACUUAA
Molecule: unclassified non-coding RNA, 317 nt
Filed under: uncultured Exophiala
Lineage: Eukaryota; Fungi; Ascomycota; Eurotiomycetes; Chaetothyriales; Herpotrichiellaceae
Description: sequence contains ITS2
Rfam family: 5.8S ribosomal RNA (bases 1-52)
Source: RNAcentral